This 447-nucleotide ribosomal RNA is filed under the name uncultured bacterium. Its description in RNAcentral is "bacterial SSU rRNA". It matches the Rfam family "Bacterial small subunit ribosomal RNA", at positions 329 to 794 of the family's 1533-position model. The record is from RNAcentral.
AUCCAGACUCCUACGGGAGGCAGCAGUGGGGAAUAUUGCACAAUGGGGGAAACCCUGAUGCAGCGACGCCGCGUGAGUGAAGAAGUAAUUCGUUAUGUAAAGCUCUAUCAGCAGGGAGGAAAAUGACGGUACCUGAGUAAGAAGCCCCGGCUAACUACGUGCCAGCAGCCGCGGUAGUACGGAGGAUGCGAGCGUUAUCCGGAUUUAUUGGGUUUAAAGGGUGCGUAGGCGGACGCUUAAGUCAGGGGUAAAAUUGCGGGGCUCAACCUCGUCGAGCCGUUGAAACUGGGUGCCUUGAGUGGGCGAGAAGUACGCGGAAUGCGUGGUGUAGCGGUGAAAUGCAUAGAUAUCACGCAGAACUCCGAUUGCGAAGGCAGCGUACCGGCGCCCAACUGACGCUGAAGCACGAAGGCGUGGGUAUCGAACAGGAUUAGAUACCCCAGUAUG